GACGAACGCUGGCGGCGUGCCUAAUACAUGCAAGUCGAACGCUUCUUUCCUCCCGAGUGCUUGCACUCAAUUGGAAAGAGGAGUGGCGGACGGGUGAGUAACACGUGGGUAACCUACCCAUCAGAGGGGGAUAACACUUGGAAACAGGUGCUAAUACCGCAUAACAGUUUAUGCCGCAUGGCAUAAGAGUGAAAGGCGCUUUCGGGUGUCGCUGAUGGAUGGACCCGCGGUGCAUUAGCUAGUUGGUGAGGUAACGGCUCUCCAAGGCCACGAUGCAUAGCCGACCUGAGAGGGUGAUCGGCCACACUGGGACUGAGACACGGCCCAGACUCCUACGGGAGGCAGCAGUAGGGAAUCUUCGGCAAUGGACGAAAGUCUGACCGAGCAACGCCGCGUGAGUGAAGAAGGUUUUCGGAUCGUAAAACUCUGUUGUUAGAGAAGAACAAGGACGUUAGUAACUGAACGUCCCCUGACGGUAUCUAACCAGAAAGCCACGGCUAACUACGUG
This 508-nucleotide ribosomal RNA is filed under the name uncultured bacterium. Its description in RNAcentral is "partial 16S ribosomal RNA". It matches the Rfam family "Bacterial small subunit ribosomal RNA", at positions 28 to 507 of the family's 1533-position model. The record is from RNAcentral.